Molecule: long non-coding RNA, 289 nt
Filed under: Homo sapiens (human)
Lineage: Eukaryota; Metazoa; Chordata; Mammalia; Primates; Hominidae
Description: HSALNT0247292
Source: RNAcentral
AGAAUAGUUAACAGUGAUUCUGUGCUCUGGGAAGGAACUUGCUGCUGAGAGUGCCAGUCUGCGAGGUUUUUGCUUUAAUGUCUGGACGGAGGAGAAGUCUAGAGUAGCUGAUGUGUAUUCGAGGUCAGCAUAGUGUAUGGAAGAGCAUCAGUUGUCAUGCUUAUGGCAUUUUAUUAGUAGGGAUGACUGACCAUCACUAGAGUUAACUGGCAUAACCAGUGCUUGAAGAUUUAAGUGGAACUAGAUGGUACCAUGUGCCAGGAUGUACAGGCUCCCUAGGGAGGACUCU